Molecule: ribosomal RNA, 572 nt
Filed under: Dicentrarchus punctatus
Lineage: Eukaryota; Metazoa; Chordata; Actinopteri; Moronidae
Description: partial 16S ribosomal RNA
Rfam family: Bacterial large subunit ribosomal RNA
Source: RNAcentral
CCUCUUGCAAACUUAUGUAUAAGAGGUCCAGCCUGCCCUGUGACUAUAUGUUUAACGGCCGCGGUAUCUUAACCGUGCGAAGGUAGCGCAAUCACUUGUCUUUUAAAUGAAGACCUGUAUGAAUGGCAUCACGAGGGCUUGACUGUCUCCUUCCCCUAGUCAAUGAAAUUGAUCUCCCCGUGCAGAAGCGGGGAUACACACAUAAGACGAGAAGACCCUGUGGAGCUUUAGACACAAGAGAGACUGCCUUCAUUAACCCAAAAUAAAGGGCCAAAGCUAAAGGUAGCCCUCUCCAGCGUCUUUGGUUGGGGCGACCGUGGGGUAAAACAAAGCUCCCACGUGGAAUAGGAGCAUCCUCCUUCAACCAAGAGCUCCCGCUCUAAGGAACAGAACUUCUGACCAAUCAGUGAUCCGGCAUCGCCGAUCAACGAACCGAGUUACCCCAGGGAUAACAGCGCAAUCUCCUUCUAGAGCCCUUAUCGACAAGGGGGUUUACGACCUCGAUGUUGGAUCAGGACAUCCUAAUGGUGCAGCCGCUAUUAAGGGUUCGUUUGUUCAACGAUUAAAGUCCU